CAAUCUUUACCAUUCAGUGAUAACAAGCACCUUUUGUUACAUUUUAAUAUUUUAUGAUGUAUUUAAAUGAGUAGUUAUUGUUGCAAACUCCAUUAGAAAUUUGAAUUGAGAUCAGUUUUGGAAAAAGGGAAAGGGGGAAGUGAAACAUUUUUUUGAGAGGAUUAAUAUUCAACAGCAUAGUGAAUUGCUCAAAGGCAAAAAAAAUAUUUUAAGUUCAUUAGACCACAUUCAUUCUGUGUCAGAAAAAUAUGCUGUGUCAACUAUUUCAUCACAGCUGAAUCCAGCUUGAAUGUUGUGUCCAUACUUGCCCCA
RNAcentral lists this long non-coding RNA (312 nucleotides) under Mytilus galloprovincialis (Mediterranean mussel). Lineage: Eukaryota; Metazoa; Mollusca; Bivalvia; Mytilida; Mytilidae. The record is from RNAcentral.